RNAcentral lists this long non-coding RNA (227 nucleotides) under Nicotiana benthamiana. RNAcentral's name for it is "long non-coding RNA (NBEN_LNC020505)". The record is from RNAcentral. Lineage: Eukaryota; Viridiplantae; Streptophyta; Magnoliopsida; Solanales; Solanaceae.
AGAAUCAUUCAUGAGAAAUGAAGAUACAGUGCCAGAAGAUAUUCCAGAAGUAGAAGACAAUGGGAAAGAAGACGGUGUUGAGCAGGGGGAGCCACAACCCGCUCUGCCAGAUGUUUCAGAACCAUCACAAGACUCAGAUGAUGGUGGAUCUCCUCAUAUUCCAUAAGUUCGUAGAUCUGAACGAGGUUGGAUUCCAUCGAGAAGAUAUACAGAAUCCGAAUAUCUUC